CGGCGAGCGAAGCGGGAAGAGCUCAAAUUUAUAAUCUGGCACCUUCGGUGUCCGAGUUGUAAUCUCUAGAAGUGUUUUCCGCGUUGGACCGCACACAAGUCUGUUGGAAUACAGCGGCACAGUGGUGAUACCCCCGUACACGGUGCGGACGCCCAGCGCUUUGUGAUACACUUUCAAUGAGUCGAGUUGUUUGGGAAUGCAGCUCAAAUUGGGUGGUAAAUUCCAUCUAAAGCUAAAUAUUGGCGAGAGACCGAUAGCGAACAAGUACCGUGAGGGAAAGAUGAAAAGCACUUUGGAAAGAGAGUUAACAGUACGUGAAAUUGUUGGAAGGGAAACGCUUGAAGUCAGACUUGCUUGCCGGAGCUUGCUUCGGUUUGCAGGCCAGCAUCAGUUUUCCGGGGUGGAUAAUGGUGGUUUGAAGGUAGCAGCCUCGGCUGUGUUAUAGCUUUCCACUGGAUACAUCCUGGGGGACUGAGGAACGCAGCGUGCUUUUUGCGAAGGUUUCGACCUUUUCACGCUUAGGAUGCUGGUGUAAUGACUUUAAACGACCCGUC
Molecule: ribosomal RNA, 554 nt
Filed under: Rhodotorula sp.
Lineage: Eukaryota; Fungi; Basidiomycota; Microbotryomycetes; Sporidiobolales; Sporidiobolaceae
Description: eukaryotic LSU rRNA
Rfam family: Eukaryotic large subunit ribosomal RNA
Source: RNAcentral